This 910-nucleotide ribosomal RNA is filed under the name Hydrozoanthus antumbrosus. Its description in RNAcentral is "partial 12S ribosomal RNA". It matches the Rfam family "Bacterial small subunit ribosomal RNA", at positions 331 to 1470 of the family's 1533-position model. Lineage: Eukaryota; Metazoa; Cnidaria; Anthozoa; Zoantharia; Hydrozoanthidae. The record is from RNAcentral.
GAAGGCUCAUUAAGUCCGUCAGGGACGAGGCAGCAGUAGAGAAUAUUGUGCAAUAUACGGCAGUAUGACACAGAGAGCACACGCCCUCUUGGCCUGUCCAACUAAGUGCCAGCAGACGCGGUUAGACUUAGGGGCCAAGCCUUUAUGAGCAAAGGGGCGUAAAGGGUGUGUAGGCCGACUGCCCCACCCCCCCCAAGGUGGUAAAUGGAAUUUUUCUGUAGCGGUAGAAUGUGCGGAUAGAAAAUAGAACCCCAAAAGCAGAAGCAAUUUACCGCGGGGUGGGAGGGGGGGCCCCCUAGGGCGCCCCCCGGGCUACGGGCUGAAACACGAGGGUGUGGGGAACAAACAGGAUUAGAGACCCUGGUAGUCCACACUGUAAACGAUGGAGAAAAUGCGAAUGCAGCCCCGAAAGGCAGCAAUCUCCCGCCUGAGUAGUACGAUCGCAAGAUUAAAAUUCAAAAAAUUUGGCUGUUCACCGUUUCGAUUAGAGGAGCGUGUAGUUUAAUUCGAUAAACCGCGAGAUACCUUACCCAAACUUGAAUCCUUGAGGAUUCCAAGGAAUCCUUAUGGACCGGUAUUGCAUGGCCGUCGUCAGUUCGUGUAUGAAACCUUAAACGGACCCAACCCGAGGAUUAGCCGCGGAUGAAGUCAGGUCUUAUGGUCCCAAUGUUUGGGGAUAAUAUGCGCUACAUUUUCUUAUACAAUGGGAAACCUGGGAGGUGAAACCCAAAAGUGAGAGUUCGGUAGGCUAUUGGAAGAUGGCCGAAAGUUGAAUUUAAUAGUAAUCGGAAAGUAUAGCGUUCCGGUGAAAUGGUCUAGGUGUUAGCACAAAUCGCCCGUCACCUUAACUUAGGAUGAUGGUUCGGACGCCGCCGCGCCCCCACGGGCUCCGGCGGUUACGGGCCCCUAC